AGCUGCCAAAAAUAAUAAUGUCGUUUACAAGCAGCUUCUCCUAUGUCUAAGGAAGAACUAGCCACCCAGGAGUGCGUGCUGGCUUUGGAGGAGCGAGAGAAGAAAGGGGCAAAAUCUACCUCCCCCCACUUUCAAAUACACACUAUCAGAACCCACUGGAAGCUGUGGCCCAUUCCAGAGGUGCUGGCAACAUCGAGGGACAUUCAUAUCCACAAAAAUUCUGAACGACUCAACGCUGGUAAGUGUAAGAUGCUUCAAAGUAUUUCUGUGCUUGUCAUUUGCUUCGAGGACUAAGAGAGACAAGUUUGAAAGCAAUAUGUUCUGAUCACGAAACAGCUGGAAAUGGCAGCAACCUGAUACAGAGCAAUCAAGAACUGAAGGUUUAUUCUGAAUGGGCGGCAUUGUCCAACUGUGAGACAGUGAAGCUGAGAAUAAGUGCAAACACAAUCAAUAGAGACUUCAGGGGUAAAGUUACUGAGAAGCUGUCUUGUUGCAUGUCUUUCUGCUGCCACAUUUGCACUGUACCCAUAGAUUGCAAUACUGUCUGUGGAGAAGGAAACAAUUCUUCAAUUUAUUUUUAUUCUUAAUGACAGCUUCUGAGCUGUCACUUGAAAAUACAAUGAUAAAAUGGCUCUUUCAGAAAUAAAAAGUAUAUUUCAAAGCUCCACUGUAUCUUGGGUAGGUAAGAAUGCCUCAUCAUUAAAUGGUCUUUAAUAUA
Myotis lucifugus (little brown bat) is the source of this 718-nucleotide long non-coding RNA. RefSeq lists it as uncharacterized. The record is from RefSeq and is a predicted model, not a curated record. Lineage: Eukaryota; Metazoa; Chordata; Mammalia; Chiroptera; Vespertilionidae. The transcript has 2 exons.